GUCUAUGACCAUGCCACCCUGAACAAGCCCGAUCUCGUCUGAUCUUGGAAGCUAAGCAGGAUUGGGCCUGGUUAGUACUCGAAUGGAAGACCACAUAGGAAGACAAGGGGGCGGGGGAA
This 119-nucleotide ribosomal RNA is filed under the name Pteropus alecto (black flying fox). The record is from RNAcentral. Lineage: Eukaryota; Metazoa; Chordata; Mammalia; Chiroptera; Pteropodidae.